CUUCCACCAGGACAGACGUCUCUCCAACAUGGUAAAAUGACACAAAAACCUGUGGCUCUAAAGCAUCACAUUCACCUACAAUCUUGAACAGCAUGUGGUGAAGCUCGACCACACAUGAAAAUGAUCAUAAACCAAUGGAGAUUUAACUGAAGAUGUAGCUGAACUCGGGUUAAAUCCAAGUUCAGGAGCAGCUUGGGCCUGACAGCAAAUUACCUGUUGGCUGAUUUCCUGGACUUUGAUUAUUGACUGAGCCCUUUGGACCCCUCACCUGUUUUGGACUCUUGCCUGCCUCCACUCUCCCUAAGCUUGUUCCUCCUUGUUGUUUUUAUCAAAAAAGAUAACGCCUUUUAAACUGAACCUCUGCCCAGUA
Micropterus dolomieu (smallmouth bass) is the source of this 370-nucleotide long non-coding RNA. RefSeq lists it as uncharacterized. NCBI's taxonomy places the organism in Eukaryota, Metazoa, Chordata, Actinopteri, Centrarchiformes, Centrarchidae. The transcript has 3 exons. The record is from RefSeq and is a predicted model, not a curated record.